UGUUAUUUGAUUAUGAGAUCUGUGAGUGU
RNAcentral lists this non-coding RNA (29 nucleotides) under Bombyx mori (domestic silkworm). Lineage: Eukaryota; Metazoa; Arthropoda; Insecta; Lepidoptera; Bombycidae. The record is from RNAcentral.